GCUGCCCGCCCGCCCUUCUACAGACAGUCACUGAGGAGGCGGCCAGAGCCUGGGCUGCGACCCUUACUGCAGCUGCUGAGUAAAAUUGUGAGGAAAAAUAUCCAAAAAUAUAUAUAUUUACCAGUACUAGUCAGAUGGUGGAGUACAGCAAGAAAGCCCACAUUAUCUGAGACCAUCACUGACAACGAUCAGUGCUGGCAGGUGGCAGAAGAGGCUGAACUGUUCUUACCUUGGAUAAACCUAGUCAGUGCUGCGGGAGGUGUUUCAGCCUUCAAGCUGUCAUGCCUCAGGUGGCUGAAGCUGCUCUAUUGGAAAGUAGAGGACAAGCGGAGGCUGCCAGAGCUGGAGGACAUGAUGAAACUUGGUGAAAAAUGGUCUUUUUCUAGCGUAAAUUUUCAUGGGAGUCCAGUGGAAAACAACUGGUGUGAACAUAGUUUGAGUCAAGGCAUAGCAAAUAACAAAUCUAUCUAAAUAAAGACCAGGUGGCAAUACAAGCCAAAGCAAUGGUGUCCUGUGUGCUACUAACUUAGUUAGUGCAGUUACCAAUAAUUACCACAUCCUUAAAUGACCAUAUUGUAUUCAGUAAUGUCAGUAAGGUCAAUUCACAGUCAUAGGAUAAAAGGGGAUACUCCAGUAGCUCUUAAUGUGCAUCAAAAUGAGAAGAUUGAUAUUGACAAGGUGACCUCUGCUCCGAAGGGGCAGUUUAUUUUGAAUGCCUGUAGUUUUUCUUGUUUAUGAUUGACAGCCUCGAUGGUAUGACUAUUUUUGUUGUUUUUUUUUUUCCUAAAGGAGCAGCACAGUUUGUGCUAGCUAUUUUGAAUGAUUCAGCAAUAGCACAAGUUAAAGAAGGCUAGUAAGAUUUUUCUGUAGAAAGUUGCUACACCCCAGUGCCCAAUGUCCCCCAAGUGCCCUUUGAUCGUUCUCUGAAUGACCCCGGCUCUGUGUUAAUGUCUGGCAUGCAGUUCCGCAAUUAAAAUGUGUGGCCUGACAUCAGUUCCGAAUUUGUCUUUCCUUCAAUUUUUCAUGUCCACCCAAUUCAUUCUUUCGUCCCCUUAACCUUCUCUGUGUCAGAUAACUGCGUUUUAUUCUUUGGUUGCUAUCUGUGGAAAGUUUACGUGCAAUUUACUUCUUCAGUUCUGUUUU
RNAcentral lists this long non-coding RNA (1143 nucleotides) under Anser brachyrhynchus (Pink-footed goose). Its description in RNAcentral is "lncRNA (ENSABRG00000002024.1)". The record is from RNAcentral. Lineage: Eukaryota; Metazoa; Chordata; Aves; Anseriformes; Anatidae.